AGUAGAUAGCUUAACCUUCGGGAGGGCGUUUACCACGGUGUGGUUCAUGACUGGGGUGAAGUCGUAACAAGGUAGCCCUAGGGGAACCUGGGGCUGGAUCACCUCCUUA
Molecule: ribosomal RNA, 109 nt
Filed under: Shewanella algae
Lineage: Bacteria; Pseudomonadati; Pseudomonadota; Gammaproteobacteria; Alteromonadales; Shewanellaceae
Also listed under: 2 other names
Description: partial 16S ribosomal RNA
Rfam family: Bacterial small subunit ribosomal RNA
Source: RNAcentral